Molecule: ribosomal RNA, 253 nt
Filed under: uncultured bacterium
Lineage: Bacteria
Description: partial 16S ribosomal RNA
Rfam family: Bacterial small subunit ribosomal RNA
Source: RNAcentral
UACGUAGGGCGCAAGCGUUAUCCGGAAAUCAUUGGGCGUAAAGCGCGUGUAGGCGGUUCCGUAAGUCCGCUCUGAAAGCCCAGGCUCAACCCUGGGAGGCGGGUGGAUACUACGGAACUGGAGUACGGAAGAGGAGAUUGGAAAUUCUUGGUGUAGCGGUGAAAUGCGCAGAUAUCAGGAGGAACACCAACAGCGAAGGCAGAUCUCUGGGACGUUACUGACGCUGAGACGCGAAGCGUGGGGAGCAAACAGG